GGCGAGAGACGAUAGCGAACAAGUACCGUGAGGGAAAGAUGAAAAGAACUUUGAAAAGAGAGUUAAACAGUACGUGAAAUUGUUGAAAGGGAAACGAUUGAAGCCAGUCGUACCUAUGGGUAAUCAGCCUUUCGGGUGUGAUUUUGUGGACCGUGANGAGUCUAAACGCCGGCAUNCCUGCAUAUUCGUGCACUUUGGGUGUGCUUGCCCGUGUGUAAGUUAACAUCAAUUUUGGUGGUCAUAAAGUGG
RNAcentral lists this ribosomal RNA (249 nucleotides) under Glomus sp. Aa. RNAcentral's name for it is "partial large subunit ribosomal RNA". It matches the Rfam family "Eukaryotic large subunit ribosomal RNA", at positions 325 to 525 of the family's 3401-position model. Lineage: Eukaryota; Fungi; Glomeromycota; Glomeromycetes; Glomerales; Glomeraceae. The record is from RNAcentral.